GGCAGAGGCAGUUCAGGGGUAUUCUGGUUGCCUUACCCAGCUCUGAAGUCUGUCAGCCUCUUCAGAUGUCACUUGCCAUGUGGUAAGGAAGUGUAGUCAGCAGCUGGUGCAGUGGGAAGAAGAGAAAGGAAGUUCCCCAAGACAAAAACAUCUCGGCAGACCGUGAUCAUGGGCUACAUUCUCCGUACCAGCUUCAUAGCUCCAGUGAGAAAAUAAAUUCCUGCAUCCAGGAGAUGUGGAGUAAGAGAUACAGCUGCCCUUGACCAUAUUUCUUACUUCCGAGAAGAUCGUAGCAGUAAUUCAGAAUCUCAUCCAGGAUACCUCAUCACAGGCUGGAGUGCAGUGUCAUGAGCUUGGCUCACUACAGCCUCCAUCUUCUGUGCUUAAGGAUCCUUCCCUCUCAACCUCCAAGGUAGCUGAGACUACAGGCAACAUUCGAAACCCAGGUGCCACUCCUUCAGGAAGGUACCAUCAAGCUCCAAGGACUCAUCCUCUUUCUCCUUCCCCACUACCUAGUCAUUAGAGCGUCAGCAUCCACUUCCUGAAAGGAAGAUGCCUGUUUUUCACAUAUCCCAGAAAGCCUCAUUUUAGGACAGCAUUUAGCAGAGUGUAUUCAGGAUCCCACUAACCUUUUCGGAAGACAUGACUUCCAGAUGAUAUAAGGCAAGAAUAAGAAAUUUCAGUGACAGGGAACAGAAAUCAUAUUUCUGCAUUCAGGAUCAUGUUUUCUUGGCUCCAUCAGGAACUGUGCAGGACUGUGCACUCUGUUGAUACUCACAUGGUGGAAUUAUAUUGCCCUUGGCCAACCCUAAAGCCAUCAAGAUAGCAGGUUUGGAAUAAUUCACUGUCGAAGUCUUCUUGAGCUGAGCAGUCAUGUGAGCUUGGAAGAUGAUCCCUCUCCAGCUGAUCCUUCAGCUCAGGCCAUCAUCUACAUCUGGAUUCCUGACCCGGAGAAACUAUGAGUAAUGUGUGCUGCUUUUGAGCCACUAAGCUACAUGCUGCCAUGUAAGAUGUGCCUUACUUCCCCUUUGCCUUCAAUCAUGACUGUAAGUUUCCUGAGGCCUCCCCAGCCAUGCAGAAAUAUGCAAAGCCCAGGACAAAAGGCAGAGAUGCAGAUAAUGUCUCACCCUUCCCAGUACAGUCAGAGGGCACAGUUGGGCUAAGAACUCCACAUAUCCCUUGGACUUACUAUGGCUACAAGCAAGACAAGUCAAAUAAUUAUUACCAAUAUCACAGGAGCAGUUUACAGCCUUAAAGCAUCUAGCUAAAACAGUAUCUGACCUGCUUGACUAUUCAGACAAAAUAUUUAAAUAAUUCUAAAGACAUUUAAAUUUUAUUUUUACCAAAA
This 1348-nucleotide long non-coding RNA is filed under the name Homo sapiens (human). RNAcentral's name for it is "HSALNT0379896". Lineage: Eukaryota; Metazoa; Chordata; Mammalia; Primates; Hominidae. The record is from RNAcentral.